CUCUUACUCUCACCCUGUCUGGCUCCCAGACACACUCACUGCCGUCUGCACGGAGGAAGGAGAAACAGACCCAUGAGAGAGAGAGAGAGACGAAGAGUUGGAGAGACAGACACAGAAAGGAGAGAGAGAGAGAGAGGAAGACAACUGUGAAGUUCAACUCAAAGUGUGGCACUCUGGAGAGUAUGAGGAAAAAGGACUGAGACAGAAAAAGGAGUAAAAAAUCUGUUUUCUCAGAGAGGCACUUCACACUCUCUCCACAGCCUUUCCUGUAACCUGUUGAUCGACACACACACACACACACACACACACACACACACACACACACACACACACACACACACACACACACACACACACACACUCACUCACAGAGAAUGUAAAGUGCGCCUGCUGUUCAGACGUGCUGUAAUAUUGGCACUGGAUUAUUGUCCUGAUCUGAUCUGAGGUCCGCCGCUGUGGACCGGCUCCAUUACAAAGGUCAGACGUAAAUAGUUCCCUCUGAAUUGGAUGGUUGAAUUCUGUCCGCUUGUCUGUGUGUGUGUAUGUUUGAUUUUUGGGGAUCAUAUCUCCACCCGCCUGCUGCAUCAUUUGUUUGCCUCUACCUGUUUGUCUUGUCUUCCUUUGAAGUGUCUGCGUACAGUCAAACGUCAUCCUUUCAUGUGUGUCUUCAUGUCUGUCUACACGUCUAUCAGUCUGCCUGUUGUUGUUGCUGCACACACCGGGGGAACAGAGGUCAUAAAAAAGUUACAGAAAAGAAGCCGUAAUAGUAGUGGUGAAGCGAGGCCGGAGCCGCUCAAACAUUCCUCUCAUUGUUCAGAGGCCCUGUAAGUCUGCGAGCUCCCAAACCUCCAUGAAAGGAAAGGGAAUCCAGCAGGCUACUGUAGCUAAACCCAGAUUCUGCUGCAGCUCAGGACCAGCUGUGUGUGUGUCGUCCUGUCCUGGUUCCCCUUUGGGAGUGUCGGGCACAGUGGAAACAGAGCUGACGUAGGCUAAAGCGGAGAGAAAGACAAGAUAAGAGGGAAUUAAUUUAGCCCAAAUAAGGAGGAGGGUUUGUUGCUCCGCUUAACCGACUCUGACUUUAGAUAACCUCUACACCAGAAGACAUGAGGGAGAGGAGGGAGGUGUUUUUUUAUUCAGUGAGGAAUCCUAAGUUUUCCAGGGAGGGACGGAUGGAUGAAUGAUGGAAGAGGGGGUUGAAUAAAAAGGAGGGAGAAAGACUCCGGCGUUGGGUUUUGGGGUGGGUGUGUGCACGGCAGCCAUCUGUAUGGAAUGGGCCCGGGCUCAGGAAACCGUGGCGUAGUGGAAUAAAAAGUGUGUAUGUGUGCGUCCAUUUGUGCAUGUGUGGGUUAUGAGGCAGCAGGGCGGCUGUACACUAAGUACAGGGCUGGUGGCGGUGAGGGUGUUUGGCAGAGACUCAGCCUGAGGAUAGGGUUACACGCACUGGGGCUGCAGGGAGCGGGCCCGCGGCCUUCUGGGCUGGGCUCUUCACCGCUCGCAGUCCGAUGAAACUUUUCUCUUUUUUUUUUGUUUUCUAAAGAGGACUUGGAAACACUUUUUUUAAAUUCUCAGUCUAAUGUCGUUCCAUUGAUUCCAGGCUAACCCAAUGAGUAUUCCCCCUUUGAUUCAGAGAAAAAAAAAAAAAAAAAACGGCGACAGAGGAGGCCCAUAGUAGAGCGCAAGUCCUUGUUUGAAUGUCACUGAAUGUCACGGCCCUCUGCGAUAAUCACACGCUCGCACGAAACAUGAAACAAAUACAUAUCUUACUCACAGGCUCACACAUACCCAGACCCACACGCUGUCUGCGAGCCGUGGAGGCCGGGUGUGGUGGGCUACGUUAGGUGUGUGGGUUUGUCUUUUUUUUUUACAUUUUUACAUCCGUUCUCCAGAUUCCAGAGGCAAGGUUAGGUAGUUCUGCUGCUUCGCUGUUGAGGUUUUUAACUUAUAUGAUCACAGACUGGAUGCACUCACAUGACCUGUUUUUUGCAUUUCCUGCAGUGUCAGACGUCUUAACUCGCCACGCUCAUUUCUGCACCAGUUGGGACUGAGGUGAUCUGCCGUGACUUUCCUGCAUUUACUCUUUUCUCUCUCGUGAGACAGUCUGCACUUAGAGGAUUAAGCGUGUUUGAGAGGCAUACUGUGUACAGCCGCAAUUAUGGAAAGCACAUUUUUCAUAUUUGCACUUCCAGAAGGGAAAUCAGACGUUUUUGUGCUCUAGUGUUUCCAACUAUUAGACUGGCAAUGGAAAGAUGCAAAAACUUUACAUCACUUAUAUAAAUCAUUAUUUUUUUAAUAUAUCCAAUGGCAGCAUGCAGCUAUAGCCUGCAGGCGUCCCCGCUCCCUGUUUGCUGUGUGAAGCGUUCACAGCCUGCAGGUGUGAAUGAUGUCACACUGCGAUGUAUUUGCACUCUUCCCGCUUUAUGAGACAGGGUGAGAACCCAGCUGAUGCACAUGCCACGUUUACCCGGCAGCCCGCCGACAUGAACGUGUUUGUUUAUUGAAAGUAGGCAUAUUAAACGCUGGGGGGGACAUAAGUCUCUGCCUUUAUGAGCACUUCGUGUGUGUGUGUGUGUGUGUGUGUGUGUGUGUGUGUGUGUGUGUGUGUGUGUGUGUGUGUGUGUGUGUGUGUGUGUGUGUGUGUGUGUGUGUGUGUGUGUUGCACACAGGGGGCAUAUGGAGGGAGAAGAUAUGUGUUAAAACAACAAGAGGUUGAGAUCCAGCUGUCUCAACAGAGGCUUUUCCACUUAACUGUGUGCCCUUGUGAAAACGUCAAUGUCAGUCCUGAACUCUGUCUAAAGGGGAGAAACAGUUUGAGAAAAAAACAGCCGGAGGCCACGUCUGCACUUGGACCUCCAUACGUCGUGUGCACAAUAUAAACUAAGUUUGCUCUCUUAAACCAUCAAAGCACCCUCAGCAGGGGCCACAAGCCGUGAAAACACUCGCUGAAAACGUUUUGAUUGGUGAUUGGUAACUGAGUGAUACUCAUUUUCCUUUUCUACGCCUCCGUCAGGAUGCAACACGUUGGCACAAUUAUGAGCUGCCGAUAAGUAGCAAGCCCACAUGUCACAACCUUAUGAUUAUUCCCCACCAUAAUAAACAUCCAAUUUGAGCAGAGCAUAGCAGCAGGAUAGCCUGGUGGCUCCACUGUAGGACUUAAAAAAAAUCUUGACAGGCCAAAAAGUGAGCCAUGUUGCGCUCCUCUCUGCGAGCGUUUGAGGUGAGGUGUUGGAUGGCGUGCGUCAACCAGAAUGCUGUCAUUACAGGGAGAGGGAAGGAAUGAGCUCAUAGACAUUAAUGGUUGCGGGUUCGACAGAAAGGGGGGACGCGAAGGGGAAGGAGAGAAACCGAUGGAAAAGAUGAAAAGGCAGAGAAAAUAACACACAGAGACGAGCCACUGGCAGAUGAAAGGACGGCGGGAUGAUGAGAGUUUUAGGUUGAUGGAGGAGAGGAGUUAAAGAGGAGUUAGCACGGCAUCUUUGAUGAGCGCUGGAGCCUUAAAACGACCUGUUUUAUUCAGAUAGCACGCAUUAUCAGGACCGUUUAGACUGAACUGCAAAUCAAAUCUAACACUGAAAGUGCAAAGUGUUAAAUGUAUUUAUAUAUUUGAGUUUUCAGUGAAGCGAGAGACAAAAAGUACCGCUGAUAGCCUGGAAUUAAAAUCCCACUAAUCCUGUCUAGAGCCAGAAAAAUGCUUCUCAUGUCGUGAUGUCGUGUAAAGAGAGAUAAUUUCUAAGAAUACAGAGAGAGCUAACAGGAAAGCACAAAAAUCACGCCGUGUUUGAAGCGGUUAAAAUGUGGUAUUAUUGGUUAAUUGGACCUCAAACCAAAAGAUCGUCAGCCUGUUAGACAUUAAAAAAACGCGUCUGCACAUGAAACACAAUUUUCUACAGAAGCCUCAAGUGGACAUGCAUCAGUACAUUUAAGUUAACUGAGUUUUCCCAUGAUAACGAGUACAUGUCAGUUGUUUUCUCAAAAUGUCAACUAUUAAACAUCGCUGGUUUUCCCAAAGAUAACGAUUGAAUUUCAGACCUUUUCUCAACAUCUUGAGAGGUCGUUUUCCCCAGGAAAGCUGCGAUGUUAUCCAGAGAUAACAAGAAUAAUAAGUGGAGAUCUGGAGAAAACAACCAAAUUUGACAUGUUAUCACUGGAAAACAGAGUUAAGUAAAAAUGUAUUGAGUUUGUCUGCUUAGGGCUUCCAUAGUUUUAAAUCUGUCUUAGGUUUGCUGCUGUUGCACUAGAAUAUAAGUUGCUUCUUUUUUGUUGUUAGAGCGAGAUCAGAAGUAGGUCUGUUUCUCUGUUGGGUAUGUCCGUCUACAAACUCUCAGACCUGACUGUAGCAGACAACAAUGAUACGGGGAGUUCACCGUGUCCCCGGCUGAGCGCUUCAGCAGGUUUUGGGAUGACAGAGCGCCGGCUGAGACUUAUUUAGAGUCAGGAGUUCCCCAAAAGUGUCCCACUGACUCAGAUCUCAUUAAGGCUGCUGAAAAAAAACAAAGAGACUGGAGGAGAACGGCAAAGUAGGAUUCAGUGUGGAUCUAGAGCUCAGGUUAAAUUAUUAAAAUAUCUCCUGUCCAGACAAGUCAAAUCACACAAACAGGAAUUCACCGUCAGAGGUUUAGCUCCGGAGGUGUGUGUGUGUGUGUGUGUGUGUGUGUGUUAUCAGAUUUCAUUUGAUGGACAGUAAUGAGAAGCAAUAACAAAUACAGUAUCUGUAUCUUUACACAAGAAGAAAAUUCCUGACAAAUUCUGUAGAGAUUACGCUGCUGUAAUUUAGCAGCAAAGAAAACAUGGCUCAGAGCUCUUUGGCCGCCGAACACACACUCAUGCACACACACACACAUGCACACACACUCUCUCUGAUAAAGGGGCAGAGGUAGAAGAGAGCGGGGCAAACGUCUUUAAAGGGAGUGCCACUUGACUGGCCACUUCCUCCUAACCUAAUUCUCCUUUCUGUCUUUGAAAAGCUAUUUUUAUAAGAGGCCACGGGAAGUCUGGGAGAAGCAGGCGCACACACACACACACACACACACACACACACACACACACACACACACACACACACACACACACACACACACACACACACGGGGCUGAGUGUGUGAUGCUUUCUCACAGAGGUACAGACUGAGGUGAUCACUCAACGACAGGACGGCACCACGCUGGAGAUUUGCUCAUUAUUUGGUUUGUCUGUCUUGUUGUCUCUGUCGGCCAGGGGAAUUCCUGGCGGAGUGAUUUUUUGAGACUACAGGACUGAAUCACAUUGCCAGGGAUUUCCAAUGGCUGACAUGAGGAAAGCGGCGUCCUCCUCGCUGACACACACACACACACACUCUCUCGUCUGUUAACUCACACACGGCCACACCCAGGUUUUUUUCUGAUUUGCAUAGCCGCACACAAACACACCCUGCUCUGUCACCAACAGAUACUGCUCCAACACCUGGCAGUGUGGCGGCAGGACUUAACCCACAUGUGAGCAGUGAGUGUUGGUCAUGUUCACAGUGGUUAAGUUCUGCCGCCACAGGGCUGCAGCCUGCAGGGCGGGGAGUGGGGGAGGAAAGGUCAGGGAGGGGCUGCACAGGAUCAAAACCCGACUAUCAACACCAACACCAAAUAUGAGACGAAUCCAACAGCAUCCACUGCAAAGAGCGUCCCAAUAAAAAGAGGUUUUAUAUCCUCCAAAGACAACAAACAUGAACGUCUGUAGACAUAAGGUGUGCCUCCAUCCACCUGUAGACUGACAUCAAUCAAUCCAUCCAAACACUUUGUAAAAUCCUUCUCAUUACGUUCUUCUGCUUCGUCUUUAGACUACAAUCAUCCGUGCUUUGAUCGUUCUUGGGGGGGGGGGGGGGGGGGGCAUGUGGAUAUUUUUCAGGCAUUUCUGUCAAAGUGUGUGAUCAUUUUUUCACGACUGCUUAAAUAAGUGUACAAAUAAUAAAGUUCAUUUUGCUCAACACUUAUCAAGAAAGGUCCGGUCUAACUUGUAGAUUAUGUAGUGAAGGUGGCACAACAUGUAUUUCACUUAAUAUCAAUCUGGGAACUUUGACAGACUAUAAUUUAAUAAAACGACUGCAAGAACGACGGCAAACACAGGAAGUGACAUCCACCCUUUUUACUUUUUUUUAUAUCUCAUGAUAAGACACCCAACAAGAAAAGCUUGCUUACCCCCAUCGGUAGAUUUAUUUCACUUAUUAUAAGAUAAAUGUAGGACGUAUUUUUUAUAUCUUGAAAUAAGAUUUCCAUUGAGACUUGUCUGGUGAAUGUGUCUGAUAUUCAGUGCUAUGAGAUAUUUUGGCAAGAAAUUAGACAAGUACUCUUUCUCAGGUUUGAGUUUUUGGAGUGUAAGCUCGUUAAAAAAGAAGUUGAUCAAACCUUGAUAACCACGUUAUGAAAAGGUUGAACAAGAUUCUUCACAAAACACGUAAAACCUAAAAAAUAAAAUAGACAUAAAUGAAUGAAAAGAACAAGAAGGAAAAUUGAAAAAAGAGGAAGGACUUCAAACUAAGGUUGACUAAAUUAAUCAAUAAAAAAUCACAAGUUUAGAUAUAAUUCUGGGGCCAUCAUGGACUUUAAAGAUUUAAUUUUAAAAUGAAUCCUAACUCAAAUGAGUGGUAAUAAAAAACUGCUGUACUUUUAUUUUUUAUUUUUGGAGUCAACCUAUCCUCCUCUGACGUUUUCCUGCUACAGGCUUUUAGGUUAGUCCAAUCAUUGGGAAUUAGAUGCAUGAAUAUAAUAGCGUCAGUGUCAUUUAGACUGGUAAUAAUCCUGAGGCGGUAGCAGCAUGACUGAAUGACUCGUGAAAAUAAUUUGAGAAAACUAUUAAAAGCACUUUAAAUGUAUGAAAGCUGUCGAAACGAGGCGACAAAAAAAAAAAAGAGUCUGCUUCUCAUUUGUUGAAUUCUCUGAUUUUAAGAUAUCCAACACUCAGAUGAAUCACUCCUGCGCUGACAGCAUACAUCGGAGGUCGAGCGCGUGUGCAGAUCUCUGAUGACUCCGUUUUGUGAUAUUAAAGUGUUAAAGGUGAUGCGUUUGUGGUCAGGAGGGCAGAAUGGGAGCAGGGCUCGUCGUCUGUGAGCUUCUGGUAAUAACUGGUAAUCAGUUGAAUGAGCUGGAAGAGUGCGGCCUCAGUGUGUCUGUUAAAUGUCAGCCGUCUCAUUAGUGCUGAAAGCUGCUGCUGCUCCUGUAGGGCGAGCAGUGUGUCGGCUCAUGUCGUCAUUUUUAACUCUGGCUGCUGGGUGUGGGGGGGGUCUCUCAGGGGCGACGUGUGUGUACAUGUUGUGUUUGCAUUUAUAAUUUUCUCACCUGUUGAUUUUUGCAUCAGCAUCCGUGUCUGUUUGUUUGACUUUGUCUGACUCUUCCAUCUGUAAAUGUAUAUUUGUGUGUGUGUGUGUAUUUGUGUGUGUGUGUGUGUGUGUGUGUGUGUGUGGUGUGUGUGUGUGUGUGUGUGUGUGUGUGUGUGUGUGUGUGUGUGUGUGUGUAAUCACCUCUGUCUGCCCCCCCCCCCCCCCCACCCCCCCCCCCUCUCCCGCUGGGUCGGUCUCCUGUGCCUGCUGUGCUGAUAAUCAGUGUGUGACGUCGGCUGGCUCAGUUCAGCAGGAACAGGGGUCUGGUCUCACUUCCACACACACACACACACACACACAUGCAUACACACACUUUAAUACCAUUAUAAUGACUGCAGCCUGUUAUUUCAUGUCGAAGUCUGGAUGUGUAUGUGCAUGUUUAAAUGUAUUUAUCGGGGAAUAAUAAAAUUCCUGCCCACAUGUUUUUGAAUCCGAUCUCAUCGUGUCAUGAAACACUUUAUUUUUGUUUCUGUGUGCAGCUCGAUUUCAUUUACAGGCUGUUAAAACACACAAAUUUGUUAAAGCAUGUCCAACAUUUUAAUAAGGAAAUCAAUGUGAAGAUGUAAUAAACAUUCAAAUCUGUUGUCAUAUUGUUUUAGCAUUUCCUGUUAUAAUUUUAAUUUCUCAGAUGAUUCAAAAACAAAUGUUCUUUUUUGUUCAUUGUCUACAUGUUUGUAAUAAAAUAAUUAAAGAAACCUU
Molecule: long non-coding RNA, 8036 nt
Organism: Labrus mixtus (cuckoo wrasse)
Lineage: Eukaryota; Metazoa; Chordata; Actinopteri; Labriformes; Labridae
Exons: 2
Source: RefSeq, a predicted model, not a curated record